UUUCCAGACUCCUACGGGAGGCAGCAGUGGGGAAUAUUGGGCAAUGGGCGCAAGCCUGACCCAGCAACGCCGCGUGAAGGAAGAAGGCUUUCGGGUUGUAAACUUCUUUUAAGAGGGACGAAACAAAUGACGGUACCUCUUGAAUAAGCUCCGGCUAACUACGUGCCAGCAGCCGCGGUAAUACGUAGGGAGCGAGCGUUAUCCGGAUUUACUGGGUGUAAAGGGCGUGUAGGCGGGAUGGCAAGUCAGGCGUGAAAACUAUGGGCUCAACCCAUAGCCUGCGUUUGAAACUGUCGUUCUUGAGUGAUGGAGAGGCAAGCGGAAUUCCGUGUGUAGCGGUGAAAUGCGUAGAUAUACGGAGGAACACCAGUGGCGAAGGCGGCUUGCUGGACAUUAACUGACGCUGAGGCGCGAAAGCGUGGGGAGCAAACAGGAUUAGAUACCCGGGUA
This 450-nucleotide ribosomal RNA is filed under the name uncultured bacterium. Its description in RNAcentral is "bacterial SSU rRNA". It matches the Rfam family "Bacterial small subunit ribosomal RNA", at positions 328 to 792 of the family's 1533-position model. The record is from RNAcentral.